RNAcentral lists this long non-coding RNA (672 nucleotides) under Homo sapiens (human). RNAcentral's name for it is "HSALNT0305377". Lineage: Eukaryota; Metazoa; Chordata; Mammalia; Primates; Hominidae. The record is from RNAcentral.
AGGCGCAUGCGCGCGCGCAGCUGAAACGCCGGCUGAUGAAACUGACAAAGGCGAGAGCGCGCAGCAGCCCACAGCAGCCGAGUUCGCGCCGCCGGUAGGUGCUGCCAUGCCAGGGGGCGGGAUCGUGGAGCGCCUCGCAGAACCGCACGAAAGCAAAAACAAAGCCAUCUCUCCGGAGCAGAAAUAGAACAGACGUGGCCGGGGAAAGCCAAAUAUUUCCUGCCGUCCUGGUGAACACAAUCGAGCAAGGCAGUGAAGCAAACAUCAUUAGGUGGCUGGACUCAGACACAUCACGCUCCAGUUUGGGUUCCAAGGUGCUUCUCUCUGGAUUUUCACCUGCCUUGCCAAAAAUGAUUGAUUACGCUGGGCCAACUGGGUGUCCGGCAAUACCCAACAAAUGACUUUGGCCCCUAACAGCAGGUCUUGGCCAGACAGAAAUCAAUAUUUCACCAUUAAAAUCUAUCAAAGAAGAGUUAAGGCACCAUCUGUCCCUGCCGCCUCUCUAUGGUGUGUGAACAUUAAAUCCGACACUUGUACUACAUGGGUAAUCAAUAUAUAGUGGUUCACAGAUCAUUUGUGGUUCCCUUUUAGCAGUGAUGGAUGUCUGGAAUCGUUGUGAUUCAUUUUGUCAGACCAUUAAACAAGAUUCUGUCCAGUUCCUUCCUGAUUUCA